GGGGGAAUAGUGUAGGGGUUAUCACAUCUGCUUUGCAUCAGAUGAUGAAUUUGUAGAAGGUCCGGGGUUCAAAUCCCCGUUUCUCCA
This 87-nucleotide transfer RNA is filed under the name Ophiocordyceps sinensis. It matches the Rfam family "tRNA". From Rfam's summary of the family: Transfer RNA (tRNA) molecules are approximately 80 nucleotides in length. The record is from Rfam by way of RNAcentral. RNAcentral also lists the same sequence under 1 other name. Lineage: Eukaryota; Fungi; Ascomycota; Sordariomycetes; Hypocreales; Ophiocordycipitaceae.